UCUAAAAUGGCAGAUAGAGUGCUUAGGCUUUAAGCGCCUACCAGGAAGGUACUUCCCUUCUUUUAGAA
This 68-nucleotide transfer RNA is filed under the name Pentacheles laevis. RNAcentral's name for it is "tRNA-Leu". The record is from RNAcentral. Lineage: Eukaryota; Metazoa; Arthropoda; Malacostraca; Decapoda; Polychelidae.